This 577-nucleotide ribosomal RNA is filed under the name Aspergillus sp. PPS_02. RNAcentral's name for it is "eukaryotic LSU rRNA". It matches the Rfam family "Eukaryotic large subunit ribosomal RNA", at positions 43 to 635 of the family's 3401-position model. Lineage: Eukaryota; Fungi; Ascomycota; Eurotiomycetes; Eurotiales; Aspergillaceae. The record is from RNAcentral.
UCAAUAAGCGGAGGAAAAGAAACCAACAGGGAUUGCCUCAGUAACGGCGAGUGAAGCGGCAAGAGCUCAAAUUUGAAAGCUGGCCCCUUCGGGGUCCGCGUUGUAAUUUGCAGAGGAUGCUUCGGGUGCAGCCCCCGUCUAAGUGCCCUGGAACGGGCCGUCAUAGAGGGUGAGAAUCCCGUCUGGGACGGGGUGUCUGCGUCCGUGUGAAGCUCCUUCGACGAGUCGAGUUGUUUGGGAAUGCAGCUCUAAAUGGGUGGUAAAUUUCAUCUAAAGCUAAAUACUGGCCGGAGACCGAUAGCGCACAAGUAGAGUGAUCGAAAGAUGAAAAGCACUUUGAAAAGAGAGUUAAACAGCACGUGAAAUUGUUGAAAGGGAAGCGUUUGCGACCAGACUCGCCCGCGGGGUUCAGCCGGCAUUCGUGCCGGUGUACUUCCCCGUGGGCGGGCCAGCGUCGGUUUGGGCGGCCGGUCAAAGGCCCUCGGAAUGUAUCACCUCUCGGGGUGUCUUAUAGCCGAGGGUGCAAUGCGGCCUGCCUGGACCGAGGAACGCGCUUCGGCUCGGACGCUGGCGUAAU